Pelobates cultripes (western spadefoot toad) is the source of this 377-nucleotide non-coding RNA. Lineage: Eukaryota; Metazoa; Chordata; Amphibia; Anura; Pelobatidae. The record is from the annotation of a GenBank genome assembly.
CUGGCUAGUAAUGGAUGGGUCUCUCACGUGCAGGCACUUCCUGCGCUAGAUUGAGUACUCCAUCUCCUGGUUUUGUGAACCUAGCAUCAUACUCAAGUCACCAACAGGGUACCACUGGUUAAACACGAUUAAUUGUCAUGAUGGAAAUAAGAAUUCGCCUUCAGCAGAGAGUAGCCAGUCUAUACAUUGCUGCCAUGGUCAUUAGCCAUGAAUGUGGCUUGUGAAAGGAUGAAGGGGUGUCCCCAAUCUUUCCUGUUGGAGUCCUGUGGACCAGCCUCCCUCUUGCAGGAAAUGGGGAAACAAAAAGGUCAUUUGGUGUUUAUUUUUCUAUUGGGAUUCUGUUUUAGGCACACAACAAGGCUCACAAUCCACCUGGC